This 74-nucleotide transfer RNA is filed under the name Colocasia esculenta (taro). RNAcentral's name for it is "tRNA-Arg". The record is from RNAcentral. Lineage: Eukaryota; Viridiplantae; Streptophyta; Magnoliopsida; Alismatales; Araceae.
ACAUCUCUUCUCUCCCACUUCACACCUCGGAACGCACUGUUCUUAUAGAGAGAAAAGCGCUUUCACAUCUUCUU